AGAACCUACCAAGACAGCGGAGAGAUGUGGGUGAAGUUUGGCAGGGAUGAACAGGAAUGAGGACCUGCUGUGUGUGAGGUACUUUACAUACAUUAUUUCAUUCAAUUCUCCAAAAGCCCUGCAAAAUAGAAACUAACAAAGACCAUACUGAUUUCUCAGCCAUCAGGAUCCUACACCAUGACAAGUCACAUGAUAUGAUGGGGACCAUUAAGAUAGGAGGAAGAUAGCUUUGCCAUGACUCAGAGAAACACCAGCCCAACGUUGUCCAUUGAACUACAGCUCCCAAACCCCAUCCCCCAAGCUGAACAAAGGAAAACCACAUAAUGUUUCACCAUUACUGAGCACUGCUGUGCGGCUGUCUCUCAGGAUCCUCACAUUUUUGUGAGGUACUUUGUAAUCCCAGUGUUAUCAAUGGAUAUUCGCUGAGCUUGAGCAACUGUGACUUUUCCAAGGUCACCCCACCAUUAAGUGGAGUUCAGACCAGGCCUUCCAAUUCCACAUUUGGGAAGGGAUUGGAGGAGACUGCAAGAGCUGCGAUCAGUACACUAUUUCUGGGACAGUUUAGGGGGUACAGAAACUCACUGUGUGGCAGCUUGGGCAGCUAGGAAUAUCAGACCUCCAGCAGGGGGCGCCCACAACACUAGCUGUCAGGAGCACCCAAGUGUAGGGAAGGAAAGAAACUCAGGUUCUUGAGCGCCUGCUGUGUGCUAGCCAGGGGCUGUGUUAGGUGCAGUAGAAACUGCCCACCCUUUAUUAUUCACGGCCAAAAAUUAGCAGAGGCAGAUGGGGCUUCGGGUUGUGUUUAGACAGGGAAGUAGGAGAUGGGGAGAGGGAGAGAUGAGUGAGGCUGUGGCCAAAGCCUUCCCCUAACAUCGUGGAUUGAACAGGGGGAUGGAAGGAGAAAUUUUGAAACUGAUUCGAAUUUUACUACUUCCUAGUUAUGUGGGCUUGGGCCAAUUACUAGAUGUCUCUGAGUUUAUUUUCUCAUUUAUAAAAAUGUCUGUCACAGCUGCUUUUCAAGGUCAUUGGGAGGACUAAAAGAGUUAAUAUCCAUUAAAGAUCCUAGCAAAGUG
This is a long non-coding RNA of Orcinus orca (killer whale), 1073 nucleotides long. RefSeq lists it as uncharacterized. NCBI's taxonomy places the organism in Eukaryota, Metazoa, Chordata, Mammalia, Artiodactyla, Delphinidae. The record is from RefSeq and is a predicted model, not a curated record. The transcript is spliced from 2 exons.